AGUUACUGAAGGUAGCUUUUUUUAAGCCAAAAGAUCUUCAGCAAUUAUUAAAUAUCAUUCUUUUGCUUAAAUGUGUACUGAUGUCUAAUUAAUAUAAUUAUUAUGAUCCAGUAUUUUUUAAAUGAUCAGAAAGAUCAGAAAAUGCUCAGAUCAUCUAUCGGAGACAUCAGGGAUCACUACAUUUCCAUUUAAUAUUAACUGAUAUAUAUGUCUGCUGAUCAAGGGGGUCUCAAUGGGGAUGGUCUCUCCAUAGAUCUCUGUACUUUUCUCCGUAAUCCUUCCAUAACUCUGAGACUAUAUCCAGGCAAAAUAGUGAUAAAACUUUCCAUUUUUUUAGAUGUGCAAGUUGAAAUAGAAAGAGGGGAAUAUGUUACUAUUGUUAUAUUAUUAACUAGCCAGAUUUACGGUGAUGUUCCAAAGAGUAUACACUCACUCCAUUAGACAUCAAGACAUGGUUAAGGAGCUGUCAUAUAUUUUUACAUAAGGCCAUAAGUAUGGAUAUAAUCUCAGAGUUUGAGAGUCCCACCUUUUUUGUUUUACUUUUGUAAUUUUAUGGUUACGUUUAUUAAAAUUUAAUGUA
This 580-nucleotide long non-coding RNA is filed under the name Androctonus crassicauda. Lineage: Eukaryota; Metazoa; Arthropoda; Arachnida; Scorpiones; Buthidae. The record is from RNAcentral.